Molecule: long non-coding RNA, 3157 nt
Filed under: Cucumis sativus (cucumber)
Lineage: Eukaryota; Viridiplantae; Streptophyta; Magnoliopsida; Cucurbitales; Cucurbitaceae
Description: long non-coding RNA (CSAT_LNC000112)
Source: RNAcentral
GAUGAAGAAGAUGAAGAAGAAGAUGAAGAUGAGGAACAAGAAAUCGAUGCAGAAUUAGGGUUUUCAGGGGAUUUUAAUAAGAAAAAGAAAAUUUUUACUUCUGGGGGUUCUUCUAAUAAAAAAUCCGCAUCUGCCUUCGGUGGAGCUCCUGCGGCGGCGCCACCGCCCCCGUGUCAGGCCGAUAAUUGCAAUGCCGAUCUGUCUUCUUCUAAGCGGUACCACCGCCGUCAUAAGGUCUGUGAGUUUCAUGCUAAAGCUCCCGUGGUUCCGGUGACCGGAAUCGACCAGCGGUUCUGUCAACAAUGUAGCAGGUAUUUUGGCCUCAAAAAAACCCUAAUUUUAGAUCUGUUUUCUAAAUUUCGAAGCUAACGUAAAAAAAUGUUUAGUUUAAUCUUAGCUUAUGGUUUUGUAUGUUUAAUUAAUUAAGAUUAUCUCUGGAAUUUAGAUGGUCUUAAUUAAUUAGUGCAAUUUUUUCUUCAUUUCUUUUGAUGGGAUAAUGGAAUUUUUGGUUGGUUCAUUAAAAAAUAAAUUUACUGUUUAUUCAUCAUAAGAUUUCAUUGGUGCUUAGAAAAAGUAUACUUCAACUAUGAAAUAAAUAAAUUAGAAUUUAUAGUAAUGUAAAAAAUUGUUUUAAAUGACUUUUUUUUUUUCUUAAUGAUUUUCCCAAUUUUUAAGCUUUGUUAAUAUUUUUACUAAAAUAUCAUCAACUUUUAUUAUUCAUUGACGGCUUUUUAUUCAAUUUGUUCCAUUUAUAUCAAAACUUUUCGAUAUAUAUAUUGGUUUAUAAAAAGUUCUAUAUAUCUAAUGAAAAUAUUUUUCUUUUCAAAAUAGUUUAUUACUGUGUUUAUAUUUUAAUUAAACCUUCCAAUAUAUAUUGAUAUACUUUUGUACUAGAUUUUAUGAGGUUUUUAAGGGAUUUAUUUGUCCUUUAAAAAUAGAAGGACAAUAGAAAUGGAUAGCAGAACAACAUCAAUAUUCACUAUUGAGUUGUAAAAACUAUUCAACACAGAUAAUUUAACCAAUAUUAAUUUUGCAAAAUAAUAAAUAAUAAUAAAAUCAUCAUUUGGUUGCACUGAAACCUAAAAAGAUGUGAUGAAUUCAAAAACAAGAAGAUAAUAAUGAAAGUAAAGUUAAAAGAUUUAAACCUAACUCAAUUCACAACUAGAAGAAAACAAUUCGAUUAAUUUUUGUUCGUUCUAAAAAUUUAAAAUAAAGAUGUGCGUUUGAUUUCUGAAUUUUCUGUACGCAGUCAACAAAAUUUUAUAUAAUAUAUUUGUUUAGUUUUUAAGUUUUCGAACUGUAACUCUUUUGUGAUUGAGUAUUCACUGUAGGUUUAAAAGGUCUUUUCGAAGUUUUUAUUUUCUUAUUAUAAAUAAUUAUAAGUCAGUUUGAUUUAGAAAAAUAAUUUCACGGACAAAAGAUAAUUUUAUAAAAAAAUUAGAAAUGAUUGUUAGACCUUUUAAAUAUGUUUUGAAAAAUUUAAGCGAAAAAGAUGAAAUAUACCUAUUCUCCAAGACUCUGACUCUAAAAAAUUGUCAUUCUAAAACUCGAAAUCAAAGGUAAAUAUUACUGAAAACAAGUUGGCAUUAGGCUAAAAGAUGAUGAAGACGAGUUGGACAAAAUUAUUGGUUAUUUAUGAAUUAGCUAUAAAUGCUCUCUUUUAUAUUAUAAUAAAUUUAGUUGGUACCUUUGUGUCAAAAAAAAAAAAAUGUUAGUCCUGGUUUCAUGUAAGAUCAAAUCUUUGUCAAUAUUCAUCGUUAUUACAUUAAAUUUGUUUUUAUACUUUUUGUCCAUUGUUUAGGUAAUUGAGGAAAUCUAAAAAGAAAGAGGUUAGGGGUCAACAAGUUGGCAAUUUGCCAUAUACACUAAAUCAGCCAAACGCAUUUAGUGAAGAAUUCAAGGAAGCCUAACAAUACUGAUUGAUGUCCUUGACCUAAAUAUUGAAACCCCCAUUAUUGAUUCUUAAGCCUAAGAUAAUAUAUUAGGGUUAAAUUAUGUUCUCAUCUAAAAAUAUUGGACAAUUAGUUUUUUUUGGGUUUUAAACCCAUUUUAACUUGUAGGCAUUUUAUUAAGAAAAAAAGAAGGGGAAGCUCGAGAAUUGUUGAAAGUGUGGUGAUCCUCAAAUCUAGAUAGAGAAAAUGCAUCUUUAACUUCACGAAACACCAAAAAUAUCCAUUUGUUUGAAAGGGGAAAAGGAAAGAGAGAAAAUUUGUAAGUUAGAGAAUGGUAGAGCUAGUGUGAAAGAGCUGGAAAAUUUUAAAGUAGUAUUUAAGUUAACCUAGCUCUACUCUUGUUCCCUUCAAGAAUCUGAUUACCACGAUAGCUUGAUUGGAUCCAACAUCGGGUUUUUAGACUUGAAGUUGAGUUUUGGCUAGGGGAAGUUGAGUUGAAGACAAAACUCAUACCGGAGGUCGGGGUCGACCUCAGCCCCUGACCCUUCUCGAUCCUAUGUUGGGUUCCAUUUUCUUUUUUCUUUAUUGUUAUUGAUUACAUUUAUUUGGUACAGUAUGCACUGUGACAAAUCUAAAACUACAUUAAAGAUAAUUUUACAUAACUAAACAAAGUUUUGUUUGAAGGGUGCAUUUUUAUUUUCGUAAGACUUGAAUCACAAUUUUUUUUUAUUGCAUAAUUGAGAAAGAUCAAUGGGUAUACAUAAUGUAAUUAGAGUACCAAUCUUCCAAAUUUGCAAGCAAAAUUUAUUGUGGAAUAUUAGGAUCUUAAUAUGAGCCAUUCGGCAAAUGUUAUGCUCACUUCGCCGAUUAAUUUGCUAGGGUGGAGCUUCUGGUUUAAGUUUAUAAGCACAAUGAUUUACUGUCUUCAUCUUUUUUUCAUCUUCUAACUGGUAUUGGCCAAAGCUGAUCAUGUAUAUAUAUAGUACUAGUAGUCAUCAUAAUUGAUAACUAAAUAUUCACCAUUUGUAUUCCUUCCGUGAAAUAUGCAGAUUUCAUGGCCUACAAGAGUUCGAUGAAACAAAAAGGAGUUGCCGGAAGCGGUUGGCUGGACACAACCAGCGGCGGCGGAAGAGCUCAUCAGAUCUCCAUGGCGAAAGCUCAACCUAGCAAUUAGCAGAAUGAUGAAAGAAGGGGAAUUUUACAUUAGCUCUCUUCAUGUAACUUAGGCCCUUUCCCAAUAAUAAUUUUCUAUUGUUGGCCAAUGC